RNAcentral lists this ribosomal RNA (258 nucleotides) under Klebsiella pneumoniae. RNAcentral's name for it is "partial 23S ribosomal RNA". It matches the Rfam family "Bacterial large subunit ribosomal RNA", at positions 1292 to 1553 of the family's 2925-position model. The record is from RNAcentral. Lineage: Bacteria; Pseudomonadati; Pseudomonadota; Gammaproteobacteria; Enterobacterales; Enterobacteriaceae. RNAcentral also lists the same sequence under 1 other name.
GAAUGCUGACAUAAGUAACGAUAAAGCGGGUGAAAAGCCCGCUCGCCGGAAGACCAAGGGUUCCUGUCCAACGUUAAUCGGGGCAGGGUGAGUCGACCCCUAAGGCGAGGCCGAAAGGCGUAGUCGAUGGGAAACAGGUUAAUAUUCCUGUACUUGGUGUUACUGCGAAGGGGGGACGGAGAAGGCUAUGUUAGCCGGGCGACGGUUGUCCCGGUUUAAGCAUGUAGGCUGGUUGUCCAGGCAAAUCCGGAUAAUCAA